This is a long non-coding RNA of Anser brachyrhynchus (Pink-footed goose), 1714 nucleotides long. The record is from Ensembl. NCBI's taxonomy places the organism in Eukaryota, Metazoa, Chordata, Aves, Anseriformes, Anatidae.
UAGCCCAGGUCGUAGGCACGGACUACGCUGGAAACUUGCACAAGGGCUUUGCAAGCACCUUGCAAAAGCGGAGUACAUCUCCUGCCACGUUCCUGAGUCGCGCCAGACGUCAUCGGUUCCAGUUUCUGAAAUGCUGGAGAUGCUCGGAGCGCAAAAGGAGCAGGGAGUGUGAUACAUCUCUUUGGGAUGUUAGGUGAGCAAAGCAGUGGUACUGGGCUGGGGGGACAUGGGUCUGGGGCUUCUUGGCUGUUGGGGUAGAGGACGAAAGGAGUGGGUAUGGACUGUUUUGUGGAUUAUUGUCAUGUUUGUCUGCUCUUUCUCCUUGGUCUAAGCCACGUGACCUUGGCUCAGCAUGGCGACUGGAAGCACUAAGCCUGGAUUGGAAGGUGAGUGGAGAAAAGUUGGAAAACAGGCAUUGUUUUUGGUUUGGUAGUCUAUUGGUCCACCUCUGGGUGAGUCCUCUUUUCCAGUGAUAAAGAUGAUACUGGGAACAUCCUAGUUGGCCUCUGUGGUCCACACUGAGGAUGGAUUCUGAGCCCUGAGAAUUACGUCCAGGGGCAAAUACUAUGUGUUGGGGGUGGUUGGCAGGGGGAGGUGGGGAGUUGUGUAGUGGUUGUCUAUCUGAUUUCAGUAGCAGAGCAGGUGAGUUGACUACUGUUUUGUUUCUGAGGUGGGCGUUUCAUUGGAAGAUGCUUGGCCUGCGUGCCUUUGCCUAAUGGCACUUUGUUUCUGCAGGUAAAGUGGAGCCUUGUGCCUGAAGCUAUGUCCUGGCUAGCCUUUGUGUUCCUUGUUGAAGAUGGAACCUGCCUCCCAGCAUUCCCAAGCUAAGUUGGGGGACAAGUGCUAUGUUUGGGUUGGGGUUGUGAGUGGACCCAUAGGGUUAGGGUUAUGAGGGUCUGUGCUUUUAAGUCAUUGCACCGGAUGGGGCCUUUUAGGAUUGAGCAUGGUCAGACAGAGAGGGGGUGGGGGUUCUGUGCCUGUGAGGUGCCUGAGGAUCUGCCUUUUUUUUUUCUUUUGUGGGUGCUUCCUGCAGUCUUGGAGAGGUGAAUCCCCACAUUGUGGAGUGCUGAGGAAAGACGAGAGGGUCGUCAGCCCAGUCAGUGUCCCUAAGCAAGGUCCCCCUAAGGUGGUGUGGGUGAUACUGGCUGUACUGUUGGAGCUUGGACUCAGAGGAACGGGUGAGCCCAACUGUAUGUUGCUUCAGUGGUAGUCAGCAUUGCGGAGGAGGUGGGCAUCAGGGCUGGUGUGCUAGUGAAUGCUGGUACGCUGUUUUUGCAGAUGAUGAUAAGCCUGGCAAUGGACUAAGAUGUGUCUCAGUGCCUGUGCAUUUCUUGAGGUGGAGGGAAUUUACCAUCCAGCAAUCUGAGAGCUAAGUUGAGGGGCACCUGGUAUUUGCAUAUGUGGGGUGGCUGAUGGGAGCUGGGAGCCAGAGCAGCAUGGAGCCAGUUGGCUGAAUAUACUUGGUGCCACUGUGAGGGUGGUUCAGGCUGGGUCACCUUCAGGCUGCUUGAGGCUGGGUCACCAGGCUAAUAGAAGGAGCAGGGGGUAUUUUGUAGCAUGAGUGUCUGUGCCAGGCAGGACAGUUCCCAUCUGUCUUGUAGUGCUGCUUCUGCAGCAUGUGUUCUGUGUCAUGCACUCCUCGGGUCUUGAUAUCCUCCUUGCUUUUUGCACUGGACUGACUAGACAGGCAACUUGGUAGCCGUGCCAAAGGUCC